Molecule: ribosomal RNA, 538 nt
Filed under: uncultured bacterium
Lineage: Bacteria
Description: bacterial SSU rRNA
Rfam family: Bacterial small subunit ribosomal RNA
Source: RNAcentral
AAUAGAUACCCUGGUAGUCCACGCCGUAAAACGAUGAGUGCUAAGUGUUAGAGGGUUUCCGCCCUUUAGUGCUGCAGCUAACGCAUUAAGCACUCCGCCUGGGGAGUACGGUCGCAAGACUGAAACUCAAAGGAAUUGACGGGGGCCCGCACAAGCGGUGGAGCAUGUGGUUUAAUUCGAAGCAACGCGAAGAACCUUACCAGGUCUUGACAUCCUCUGACAACUCUAGAGAUAGAGCGUUCCCCUUCGGGGGACAGAGUGACAGGUGGUGCAUGGUUGUCGUCAGCUCGUGUCGUGAGAUGUUGGGUUAAGUCCCGCAACGAGCGCAACCCUUGAUCUUAGUUGCCAGCAUUUAGUUGGGCACUCUAAGGUGACUGCCGGUGACAAACCGGAGGAAGGUGGGGAUGACGUCAAAUCAUCAUGCCCCUUAUGACCUGGGCUACACACGUGCUACAAUGGAUGGUACAAAGGGCUGCAAGACCGCGAAGGUCGAACGCGAAAUCCCAUAAAACCAUUCCUANCCGAAUUUCGGGAAGUU